GACGAACGCUGGCGGCGUGCCUAAUACAUGCAAGUCGAACGAGAGCGACCGGUGCUUGCACUGGUCAAUCUAGUGGCGAACGGGUGAGUAACACGUGGGUAACCUGCCCAUCAGAGGGGGAUAACAUUCGGAAACGGAUGCUAAAACCGCAUAGGUUCUACAGUCGCAUGACUGAAGAAGGAAAAGAGGCUUCGGCUUCUGCUGAUGGAUGGACCCGCGGUGCAUUAGCUAGUUGGUGAGGUAACGGCUCACCAAGGCCGUGAUGCAUAGCCGACCUGAGAGGGUGAUCGGCCACAUUGGGACUGAGACACGGCCCAAACUCCUACGGGAGGCAGCAGUAGGGAAUCUUCCGCAAUGGACGCAAGUCUGACGGAGCAACGCCGCGUGAGUGAAGAAGGAUUUCGGUUCGUAAAACUCUGUUGUUAGAGAAGAACAGCGCAUAGAGUAAACUGUUAUGCGUGUGACGGAUCUAACCAGAAAGCC
Molecule: ribosomal RNA, 483 nt
Filed under: Granulicatella elegans
Lineage: Bacteria; Bacillati; Bacillota; Bacilli; Lactobacillales; Carnobacteriaceae
Description: bacterial SSU rRNA
Rfam family: Bacterial small subunit ribosomal RNA
Source: RNAcentral